UACAGAGGUCCCAAGCGUUGUUCGGAUUCACUGGGCGUAAAGGGUGCGUAGGCGGUCGGGUAGGUCUGAUGUGAAAUCUCACAGCUUAACUGUGAAACUGCAUUGGAUACUAUCCGGCUCGAGGAAUGGAGGGGAGACUGGAAUACUUGGUGUAGCAGUGAAAUGCGUAGAUAUCAAGUGGAACACCAGUGGCGAAGGCGAGUCUCUGGACAUUUCCUGACGCUGAGGCACGAAAGCCAGGGGAGCAAACGGG
RNAcentral lists this ribosomal RNA (253 nucleotides) under uncultured bacterium. RNAcentral's name for it is "partial 16S ribosomal RNA". It matches the Rfam family "Bacterial small subunit ribosomal RNA", at positions 524 to 776 of the family's 1533-position model. The record is from RNAcentral.